RNAcentral lists this transfer RNA (70 nucleotides) under Triticum aestivum (bread wheat). It matches the Rfam family "tRNA". From Rfam's summary of the family: Transfer RNA (tRNA) molecules are approximately 80 nucleotides in length. Their secondary structure includes four short double-helical elements and three loops (D, anti-codon, and T loops). Further hydrogen bonds mediate the characteristic L-shaped molecular structure. tRNAs have two regions of fundamental functional importance: the anti-codon, which is responsible for specific mRNA codon recognition, and the 3' end, to which the tRNAs corresponding amino acid is attached (by aminoacyl-tRNA synthetases). tRNAs cope with the degeneracy of the genetic code in two manners: having more than one tRNA (with a specific anti-codon) for a particular amino acid; and 'wobble' base-pairing, i.e. permitting non-standard base-pairing at the 3rd anti-codon position. The record is from Rfam by way of RNAcentral. Lineage: Eukaryota; Viridiplantae; Streptophyta; Magnoliopsida; Poales; Poaceae. RNAcentral also lists the same sequence under 1 other name.
GGUCUCGUAGCUCGGUUAGAGCGACGGUCCGAUGUACCGUAGGUCGAAGGUUCAAGCCCUUCCGAGAUCA